This 276-nucleotide ribosomal RNA is filed under the name uncultured prokaryote. Its description in RNAcentral is "partial 16S ribosomal RNA". It matches the Rfam family "Bacterial small subunit ribosomal RNA", at positions 524 to 800 of the family's 1533-position model. The record is from RNAcentral.
UACGUAGGGGGCGAGCGUUAUCCGGAAUUAUUGGGCGUAAAGGGUUCGCAGGUGGUCCUUUAAGUCAGGUGUGAAAGGCAGUGGCUCAACCAUUGCAAGCACUUGAAACUGAAGGACUUGAGUACAGGAGAGGAAAGCGGAAUUCCUAGUGUAGCGGUGAAAUGCGUAGAUAUUAGGAGGAACACCAGUGGCGAAGGCGGCUUUCUGGACUGAAACUGACACUGAGGAACGAAAGCGUGGGGAGCAAACAGGAUUAGAUACCCUGGUAGUCCCUGA